GUUAAAAAGCUCGUAGUUGGAUUUCGGAGUGGGCCAGUUGGUCCGCCGCAAGGUGUGUUACUGACUGGUUUGCUCUUCUUCGCAAAGACUGCGUGUGCUCUUCAGUGAGUGUGCGUAGGAUUUACGACGUUUACUUUGAAAAAAUUAGAGUGUUCAAAGCAGGCUAUUGCUUGAAUACAUGAGCAUGGAAUAAUGGAAUAGGACUUUGGUCCCAUUUUGUUGGUUUCUAGGGCCGAAGUAAUGAUUAAGAGGGACAAUUGGGGGCACCCGUAUUUCGUUGUCAGAGGUGAAAUUCUUGGAUUUACGAAAGACGAACAACUGCGAAAGCACUUGCCAAGAGUGUUUUCAUUAAUCAAGAACGAAAGUUAGAGGAUCGAAG
This 379-nucleotide ribosomal RNA is filed under the name uncultured eukaryote. Its description in RNAcentral is "SSU rRNA". It matches the Rfam family "Eukaryotic small subunit ribosomal RNA", at positions 618 to 1003 of the family's 1831-position model. The record is from RNAcentral.